UAGGGAAUCUUCGGCAAUGGACGAAAGUCUGACCGAGCAACGCCGCGUGAGUGAAGAAGGUUUUCGGAUCGUAAAACUCUGUUGUUAGAGAAGAACAAGGACGUUAGUAACUGAACGUCCCCUGACGGUAUCUAACCAGAAAGCGACGGCUAACUACGUGCCAGCAGCCGCGGUAAUACGUAGGUGGCAAGCGUUGUCCGGAUUUAUUGGGCGUAAAGCGAGCGCAGGCGGUUUCUUAAGUCUGAUGUGAAAGCCCCCGGCUCAACCGGGGAGGGUCAUUGGAAACUGGGAGACUUGAGUGCAGAAGAGGAGAGUGGAAUUUCAUGUGUAGCGGUGAAAUGCGUAGAUAUAUGGAGGAACACCAGUGGCGAAGGCGGCUCUCUGGUCUGUAACUGACGCUGAGGCUCGAAAGCGUGGGGAGCAAACAGG
This 429-nucleotide ribosomal RNA is filed under the name Gemmatimonadota bacterium. RNAcentral describes it as "Gemmatimonadetes bacterium partial 16S ribosomal RNA". It matches the Rfam family "Bacterial small subunit ribosomal RNA", at positions 355 to 776 of the family's 1533-position model. Lineage: Bacteria; Pseudomonadati; Gemmatimonadota. The record is from RNAcentral.